CGGGCGAGGGGCCGGUCUAAGUCUCUUGGAACGGGGCGUCAUAGAGGGUGAGAAUCCCGUAUGUGACCGGUGACUGAGCCCAUGUGAAACUCCUUCGACGAGUCGAGUUGUUUGGGAAUGCAGCUCAAAAUGGGUGGUAAAUUUCAUCUAAAGCUAAAUACCGGCCAGAGACCGAUAGCGCACAAGUAGAGUGAUCGAAAGAUGAAAAGCACUUUGGAAAGAGAGUCAAAAAGUACGUGAAAUUGUUGAAAGGGAAGCGCUUGCAACCAGACCUGCCCGCGGGUGAUCAACCGUCCUUCUGGGCGGUGCACUCGCCCGCGAUCAGGCCAGCAUCGGUUCGGGCGGUCGGAUAAAGGCCUUGGGAACGUAGCUCCUUUCGGGGAGUGUUAUAGCCCUCGGUGCAAUGCGGCCAGCCUGGACCGAGGACCGCGCUUCGGCUAGGAUGCUGGCGUAAUGGUUGUAAGCGGCCCGUCUUGAAACACGGACCAAGGAGUCUAACAUCUAUGCGAGUGUUUGGGUGUCAAGCCCAUACGCGUAAUGAAAGUGAACGGAGGUGGGAACCCGUUAGGGCGCACCAUCGACCGAUCCAGAUGUCUUCGGAUGGAUUUGAGUACGAGCAUAGCUGUUGGGACCCGAAAGAUGGUGAACUAUGCCUGAAUAGGGUGAAGCCAGAGGAAACUCUGGUGGAGGCUCGCAGCGGUUCUGACGUGCAAAUCGAUCGUCAAAUUUGGGUAUAGGGGCGAAAGACUAAUCGAACCAUC
RNAcentral lists this ribosomal RNA (761 nucleotides) under Gallowayella hasseana. RNAcentral describes it as "LSU rRNA". It matches the Rfam family "Eukaryotic large subunit ribosomal RNA", at positions 165 to 944 of the family's 3401-position model. The record is from RNAcentral. Lineage: Eukaryota; Fungi; Ascomycota; Lecanoromycetes; Teloschistales; Teloschistaceae.